GACGAACGCUGGCGGCGUGCUUAACACAUGCAAGUCGAACGGAAAGGCCCUGCUUGUGUGGGGUGCUCGAGUGGCGAACGGGUGAGUAACACGUGAGUAACCUGCCCUUGACUUUGGGAUAACUUCAGGAAACUGGGGCUAAUACCGGAUAGGAGCUCCUGCUGCAUGGUGGGGGGUGGAAAGUUUCGGCGGUUUGGGAUGGACUCGCGGCUUAUCAGCUUGUUGGUGGGGGAGUGGCUUACCAAGGCUUUGACGGGUAGCCGGCCUGAGAGGGUGACCGGCCACAGUGGGACUGAGGUAGGGGCCAGACGCCUACGGGAGGCAGGAGUGGGGAAUAUUGCACAAUGGGCGGAGGGCUGGUGCAGCAACGCCGCGUGCGGGAGGACGGCCGUCGGGUUGGAAACGGCUUUCGCCUGUGACGAGGCGUGAGUGACGGUAAUGGGUAAAGAAGCACCGGCUAACUACGUG
Molecule: ribosomal RNA, 468 nt
Filed under: uncultured bacterium
Lineage: Bacteria
Description: partial 16S ribosomal RNA
Rfam family: Bacterial small subunit ribosomal RNA
Source: RNAcentral